This 495-nucleotide ribosomal RNA is filed under the name uncultured bacterium. RNAcentral describes it as "partial 16S ribosomal RNA". It matches the Rfam family "Bacterial small subunit ribosomal RNA", at positions 28 to 506 of the family's 1533-position model. The record is from RNAcentral.
GAUGAACGCUGGCGGCGUGCCUAAUACAUGCAAGUCGAGCGAACAGACGAGGAGCUUGCUCCUCUGACGUUAGCGGCGGACGGGUGAGUAACACGUGGAUAACCUACCUAUAAGACUGGGAUAACUUCGGGAAACCGGAGCUAAUACCGGAUAAUAUAUUGAACCGCAUGGUUCAAUAGUGAAAGACGGUUUUGCUGUCACUUAUAGAUGGAUCCGCGCCGCAUUAGCUAGUUGGUAAGGUAACGGCUUACCAAGGCGACGAUGCGUAGCCGACCUGAGAGGGUGAUCGGCCACACUGGAACUGGGACACGGUCCAGACUCCUACGGGAGGCAGCAGUAGGGAAUCUUCCGCAAUGGGCGAAAGCCUGACGGAGCAACGCCGCGUGAGUGAUGAAGGUCUUCGGAUCGUAAAACUCUGUUAUUAGGGAAGAACAAUGUGUAAGUAACUAUGCACGUCUUGACGGUACCUAAUCAGAAAGCCACGGCUAACUACGU